Molecule: long non-coding RNA, 14580 nt
Filed under: Triticum aestivum (bread wheat)
Lineage: Eukaryota; Viridiplantae; Streptophyta; Magnoliopsida; Poales; Poaceae
Description: long non-coding RNA (TAES_LNC017699)
Source: RNAcentral
AAAAGGAGGUACCUAUUUGUAUCUGCAUGGUCAAAUUUGUAUCUACGGCAAGGAGGCACGUUCUACAUGGUCAGUCAUCCAAAUAGCGUCAAAUUUGUAUCCGCCCACAAGUGUUGCCAAUAUAUUUGGUCAUUGGUUGGACGGUAUUUCAAAUAAGUUCAAAACCUAAUAAGGGUGGGAGCGUAUGCCUUACUUUGGUCGCUUUGGCUAUGUAGAAAUGAUUUCAUUUUUAAGGAAAAAAUGCUUCUCCUCUACAGGUUAUUUUUCAUUGUACGCACUUGCUUCGUAUGUGGUCUACGCUACAACGACCGGAGCACCACCCGUUGUUCAAGGCGGUGUGUACGCGGUUGGAGCAGGCGGCUAUGGAGGUUUUUUCCCAACAUGGGUGGCAUCAUAACCUCCGAAUCGAUCUACCUCCAUUUUUGACAUAGGCACAGUGUCGGUCUGUAGGACUCUACUGUUGUCGACUUGUCAUUUUGGUUACUUUUCCUUUUGACAGACUUUUGUUGUUUGGCUGUGUGCAUCCUAGUUAUGCAGAGGCCGGGUGAUACUCAUGAUGUUUUGUAUCCGCUUGAUGCUACAUUUUGAGUUAAUAAAAGCGCCCUUUAUAAAAAAACCUAUUUGUAUCUACAGCAACACAUUUUGUUUAGGCAGCUUCAAUAAUAUCUAAAAGAAAGACCAUUAUGCUGAUUACAACAGCAGUAAAGAGUAGUGUCGUGGAAUUGUCACGGCAGAUGUCCUCGCGCAAGGACUUAGUCGUGGAGCCAUCGCAGCUAGGAAGCUUAAAGGGGUUAAGCGGGACAAGGAACACGAGGGUUAUACUGGUUCGGCCCCUUACAGUGAAGGUAAAAGCCUACAUCCAGUUGAGGUGGUAUUGAUUAGGGUUUCGAUGACCAGGAGCUAAACCGUCCUGCCUGGUUAUCGAGUUUGUCUUACUUGUCCCUAAACCGCCGCCGGGUCGUUCCUUUAUAUAGAGAGGUUGAUGCCCAGCAGCUCUCAGAGUCCCGGCCGGCUCAUAACAGUGUCCGGCCCGGACUCUUAACUAUUCUUGCCUUACGCUACAAGUUUCACCCUAAUGGCGGUUAACACUACGGGCCUUAAGCCAUCUCCGGGUCUUAAGCCCAUUAUUGACCCGCCGUCUUCAAGUUUGGUGCUGGGCUUCGCGUGAUGACCAUUAUGUCGUAACCCGGCCCCUCCUGGGCGGGUGACUCUAAUGGUUAUAUCCUCAACAUUAGGCCCCAGAUUGAUUUGAACCGGUUCAUGUCAAUCUUCAAUCCCCUUGAGAGAAAAUCUUCCGGCUUAUAUUUGUGCGAAGGUUAUAACCCGCCGUGACGUCAUCUUCUGGAUUCCUGAUAACCCGCCAUGACGUCAUCUUCCAUUAAGUUCAUUUUUUAUUCUGUCAUAUCCCAACGGAUCUUAUCUUUAAUGGCCAUCCCGAGAAUCGAGGCGCUUCUAUGGCGAGAUAAUCACGCCGUGGCCUCCUCGUUUCUCGCGCCCACUUAUUAGCCGCACCUUAUAAAUAAGCCUGGCCCAUAAGCCUUCAUUCACUUGUCGCCUCCAUCGUCUUCCUCCUCUGACACCCGAGAGCUCGAGCUCUGCCGCCGCUCUCCUGGUCUUCGUCGACCUCGGCCGCUGCAUCACCCUGACCUGUCCAGAGAAACGGCGGCGACCUCCGCGACUCAUCCGCACCCGUAAGUCCUUGCCACUCCAUAGAGUAGAUCCGCAUUAGGGUUCUUGCUGUUCUUCCCUGUUCUUCACAGUGCGUCGCCAUUUCUUCACAGUUUCUUCUGCACGGCCCCCUUAGAUCCAGAAAACAUAUAGAACUCGUGCGGCUGUGGUUUCGCACCCAUUCUCAAUAGUAGCACGCCCCCUUUACUUGCAAAGAAAUCCCCUUAGAGCUCAUGAACUUCUCUGUAUCAGCUUUCUAGGUCUAGAAAUUUUUCCUUUUUAGCCGAUCGUUUGAUCCAAAAUAAUUACUGCGAUCUGUGAAACUUGUUUGCGCCACACUUAGUCAAAAAUUGCAUCUGUUUAGCUAUGGCGGCUCAUAUCUUCGGCUUAAAAGAGGCCACGCGCUGUAAAAUUUCUGGCUCAUUUAUGAUAAAGUUUUAGACAACUUGAAUUACUCGCGAUGCCCUCAGCGGCUUAGAUAACCCGACGCAAUUAGCCAUAUGUCAUUAGGCCCCUUCAUAAGCCGCCAUCUUGAAUAUUGAACUGUAAACUUCCUCCGGCUUAUAGUUGAACCGGACAUUUCCUUUUGUCAUAGGCUUUCGUCUUUCACAAUGCCACCCAAGGCUCCCAAGGCACCCAUCACGUGCAACUGGAUGAGAUCCAAUGUUACUGAUGACACUUUAGCUGAUUUCGUGAAGAUGGGUUACCUGCCCAAGAAGGAGGUCAUGUCUUAUCGUGCCCCUGACCCGUCGGAGGAAAGACCUCAACCUAGAGAUGGCGAGGUGGUGAUAUUUGCUGAUCACAUGAGCCGGGGCUUCGCACCUCCUGGCUCAAAAUUCUUUAGAGAUGUUCUAAACUUCUUCGAUCUGCGGCCGCAAGACAUAGGACCCAAUUCCGUGUCGAAUAUUUGCAACUUUCAAGUAUUCUGCGAAGUAUAUCUUGGAGAAGAGCCCAGCCUACUGCUUUUUAGGGAGUUGUUUUAUCUGAACCGCCAGAAUGAGUGCGCCAACGGGCCUAGCUUGGAGCUUGGCGGAAUCUCCAUUCAACGACGGAGAGAUUGCCUUUUUCCUUAUGCUGAGCCGCCAAGCCACCCAAAGGACUGGAACCAGACAUGGUUCUACUGCCAAGACACUUCUCCGGCUGAUGAGAGCCCUCUGCCCGGCUUUCGUGCCCUGCGUCUGGAGCCAACUCACCCCCUGCCAGACAAACUAUCUCAAGCUGAACGUCAACCACUGAUCCCUACCAUCAACAAGAUUAAGGCUCUUCUGGGAAAUGGCCUUAACGGCGUUGAUCUAGUCCGGGUCUGGAUUUCUUGGCGGGUGAUUCCCCUGAGCCGCCGCCCCGGCUUAAUGUGUGAUUACACGGGCCGGAAGGAUGACCCUCUGCGGCACAGCUCCAACAAUCUUCCUGAGGACGUCGUGGAUGACAUGACCAAGUCUCUCUUGAAUGAGAGCUUAGCCGACUGCGGGAGGACCGGCUUAAGCCCCUUCUGCCAAGCUAACCCGGCUCCGGCGGUAAGCUACCAAUCUGAGCACUUUACCUUCCAUUUUAACAGUUUUCGUUUUAACUUCAAGGAAACCUUUAUUGCAUUUUUCCAGGCUAAUGACAAGUUCUGGAAGGUCAAGUAUGACCAUGAGGCUGCUAAAAAAGCCAGGAAGGCUAAGAAAGCCGCCAGGAGAGCCGCUCCCCGUAAGAAGGGAAGUAGGCCUAGCGCCUCAGAGCUGCUUCAGUUGGAUGAUAGCUCCGAGUCAGAGGUAACCCUUGACUCGUUAGGCUCCUAUUCUGCCUUUUGUCUGCUUUUUAACCACCUUAUUGACUUGAUUAUCCGCAGGAUGAUACCGGAGCGAGUAACCCGGUGACUGAAGAGGUAACUAUACUUUCCUCCGACUCGGACCCCUUGCCAAGGCUGAAAGUCCGAAGAGUAACCCGGAAAGUAGGAUUUUCGCAUCCUUUAGCUUAUCAAGAUCCUCAAUUUCUUUUGAAGCAACAGAUUCAUGAGAGCCGGAGGCAAACCCGGGCCAGCAAGGAUGCAGACCUCUCCUCCGGCUUACCUGAGGCAUCAAGAAAGCGCUGGACUGAGGUUAUCUCCAACUUAUACCCUUUUCAUCCUUUAGCGGGCGUCACUCGUCAACCACUCAAUUCGUCUGACUCAAAUUAUCAGGAAACUUCACCUUCCUCUGGUGACUCCAUGCAAUCUAACCUGCCGGCUUUCAAGACCGCACCCGGGUAAUGAUAAUCAUCUCAUUUGUGCUUAUCUUAUUUAUGUUUUUGUACUAAUCUUUUGACUUUCAGUGCCCAAGCCAAGCUCAACAAAAGGGCCAAGAAAAAUAAGCCGGUCGAAGAGCCGGUCUUGACUGAACCGGAAGCUUCUGCUCAUGAGCCGCCAUCUGCACCAGCUCCGGACACCGCCGCCUCAACUGAAGAACAAACCAUGGCGGGUUCCGACAACCCGGAGAUUCCCAGCUCAGCUCAACCGGCCGAUGACCCGGAUGUGGUGAUUACCCGGACUGAAUAUGUUGAGCCGGGAAGACCCACUGUGCUGGCCAGAUGCUCUGCCAAGGAAGAGCUGCUAGAGCGCCGCCGGGCUAGACUGGAGAUCACUGAUUAUGCUAACUUGAGCAUUGGAGACAUUGUUUCUGGUUACAUUGGUCAAGUGCACAACAGCCGGGACCUGGAGAUUGAUAUGGUGAAGCAGAUACAGCAAAAGUCUGAGGUACAACCCUCUUGCUUACUCCAUAGUCAGUCUUACUAUGCUAGCCCCCAAGUCUAUUACUUAUGAUAGAAUAUGUUGUAGACUUAACUUCCGGCUUACCUUCAUGAACCGACAAUUGUAAAUAGAAUCUUUCAGCUUACAUUAGCCCCCAAGUGCCAAGUGUCUUUGCUUGCAAAGUGCUUGGGACUUUAAUGCUGCAUAAUAAUUACUCAUACUAUAACCCGGAAUUUGUACAGGCUGCCUGCAAGAAAUUUGAAGCUGAAAUCUCUGAGCUGAAGAACUGCCUGAAGACUCAGGAAACUGAGACCCGGAAGGCCAACGCCAAAUUUGAGUUCAGUGUUGCUGCACAAGAAAAGCUGAAGAAGAAAUUUGAAACCGAAAGAAAGACUUGGGCCGAGGAGAAAACUGCUUUGGUCAGCCGGGCCGAACAAGCUGAGGUUGCUCUGACGGAGAGAACCGCCGAACUCUCCGGCUUAAAGCGCCAUGUGUCACAGAUGGUCGCCGCAAUCUUCGGUAAGUCAUUCUGCAGGCCUUUAACAAGCUUACAUUCUUCAUGUCUUAGAAAUCCCACAAUUGCCAUCAAUUCACCUAAUUUGGUUAUGCAGGUCCCAGAAGCUCCAACCUUAAUCAGAAUGUUCUGACCAAGUUGAAGGCCGUGUACACCUUGGUGGAGCAACUCUACACCGGGUCGCGUUAGCCGUUGUGGCUCUGUCCAACGAGGUUCCAACUCACCUGGCGGAUGUACUCAGGCGGCUUGCCGUUCUUCCUCAGCGCUUCCAAGAGCUAAGACGGGCCUCUGCAAGAGCCAGAGCUAUAGCUGCUUUGAGCCGGGCCAAGGCUUUUCUUCCGGAGCUAGACCCGGCCGACAUCGCUCUUGGAUACCCCAGCCUGAAGGAAGACGGCACCCCCUUUGACCAAAAAGACUUUACUGCCUGUGUGAAGAGCGUGCGCCCGGUGGCCACCCUGAUUGGGAAUGACACCGACCUUACCAAGUAUCAGCCGGGCUACGACGCGGAAAAUCAAAGGAUCCCCACUCCACGUUAUGAAGCCAUCAGCUUGAUCCCUCCGACUCGUAAGCAUACCUUCGCCCCAGAAGUUGACCCGGCCGGGUUAAUUGAUGACGAGGCUCAAUUUGAAGCUUUGAGCGGCAUUGACUGGAAAUCAUCAACCUUCCAGGUCAUGGAAUCAGCCGGAGGAGCGGAGAGGGAUGAGCCGGAAGCUUCAACUCAACAAGCACCUUGACUUUUAGGCGGCUCAUGGAUACACCUUAAAACAAUGCCUCACCUUUUGGACUCGGGGAGUCUUGUAAUAGAGUAGGUCAAACACUUAAUUUUGUCAUGCCAUCGUGCACGUGUUGAAUGCUUAACUCCAUUCAAGCUGCUUCUUCAUAUUCCUCCGGGUUAUAAUUGGUCAUUUAUUUUCCUUAAGCUCGAAUAGCUGUCUUUAACCAUCCUGCAUAGAAAACAAGCCACAAGUCUCUGGGUGGCUUAUCGCACCGAGAAUCAUAAACCUUAUAUAACCCGGAAUAUGAACCAAAGUCACCAAAGACUGGCCCUCAAUUAUAUCCUUGAGGUAACCAUAAUAGCAUACUUACAAGCCUUCAAGUAUACUUUCGGUUUAUGUAACCCGAAUAAUGAGGUUAAGAUCUCAACUCCGGUUCACCAGCAUCAAUAAUACUUACUAUGUGCUAUCGACGUUGUGAAGCAAGAUUAAGUCGGCAAAGUAAGAGCCGCCCUUGCACACUGUUGAUAUGACCAAAAGAACUUGUUGUAAAUCAGAAGAUCAAAACAUAGGGGCUUCCGGUUCGAAUACGACCAGAGAACCGUCCCAAAGGGGUUAAGCUAAGAUUCGAAUGCGAUCAUAUAGCCCCCAGUGGCUUUGGCGAUGCCGAUCAAGAGGGUACCGACAGCUAUGUUCUCUUUGGCUCGAAUACGACCCAUGUUUGAACAGGAAGCCCCCAAAUGACCUUCAGAGUUGUUUAACGACGCUGAUUCAAAUACGAUCCACGUCGGUUCCCAAAGGGGGUUGAGCUAUGAUUCAAAUAUGAUCAAAGAAAACUCCCCAAUGAGCUCGGGAAUUUGCCAAUCAAGUGGGUAUCGACAGCUAUGUUCUCUUUGGUUCGAAUGCGACCUAUGUUUGAACAGGAAGCCCCCAGGUGAUCAUAUUGUUUACGGCUAGAUUCGAAUACGAUCAUAAGCCGGAUCCACCUCCAAGUGACCAUGUGAUGUUGUAAUGGAAAUAACACGUUUACCUUUGGAGGAGAAAAGGACAGAGGUCCUGCUAUUUAUCAUAAUAUAUACAUGGCUAUAGAAAUAUGUACACUAUGAGAGCCGGUGGCUUAAGUGUAAUAAGGCCGAAGCUGAGCUAUGUUCCACGGCCGAUGGGUCUCUUCCUCCGACUUGCGUGAAUCUUUGUGCUCCCGAACGUCGAUAAGGUAGUAUGACCCGUUGUGCAAGUUCUUGCUGACCACAAAGGGCCCUUCCCAAGGCGGGGAUAACUUGUGUGCAUCUGUUUGAUCUUGGAUGAGCCGGAGCACUAGAUCACCUUCCUGGAAGACCCGGGACUUAACCCGGCGGCUGUGAUAACGGCGCAGGUCUUGUUGGUAAAUCGCUGAGCGAGCUGCUGCCACAUCACGCUGUUCGUCCAACAAGUCAAGAGCAUCUUGGCGCGCUCGCUCAUUAUCCGCUUCAACAUAAGCCGCCACUCGAGGUGAGUCAUGACGGAUGUCACUAGGGAGGACUGCUUCCGCUCCAUAAACCAUGAAGAAAGGCGUGUAACCCGUAGAUCUGUUAGGAGUAGUAUUAAUGCUCCAUAACACGGAGGGUAACUCCUCCACCCAACAACCCGGCGUCCGUUGCAAAGGGACCAAAAGCCGGGGCUUGAUGCCCUUCAAGAUCUCCUGAUUAGCUCUCUCAGCUUGACCAUUGGAUUGAGGGUGAGCCAUUGAUGAAACAUCAAGUCGAAUAUGCUCUCGUUGACAAAACUCCUCCAUGGCGCCUUUAGACAGAUUAGUACCAUUGUCAGUUAUAAUGCUGUGUGGGAAACCAAAGCGAAAUAUCACCUUUUUCAUGAACUGAACCGCUGUGGCCGCGUCACACUUGCUAACUGGCUCUGCCUCAACCCACUUUGUGAACUUGUCAACUGCCACCAAAAGGUGGGUCUUCUUAUCCUUGGACCUUUUAAAAGGCCCAACCAUAUCAAGCCCCCAGACCGCAAAUGGCCAAGUAAUUGGAAUCAUCCUCAGCUCCUGAGCCGGCACAUGAGCCCAUCGCGAGAACCUCUGACAACCGUCACAUCUACUGACCAAGUCCUCCGCAUCAGCAUGAGCCGUCAGCCAAUAAAAACCAUGACGAAAAGCCUUGGCCACAAGAGAUUUUGAGCCGGCAUGAUGGCCACAAUCCCCCUCGUGAAUCUCACGCAAAAUAUCUUGGCCUUCCUCAGGGGAAACACAACGCUGGAAAGUUCCAGUGACACUGCGGCGAUGUAGCUCACCAUUGAUAAUUAUCAUUGACUUAGACCGCCGGGUUAUUUGUCUGGCCAAAGUUUCAUCCUCAGGCAACUCUCCCUGGGUCAUGUAAGCCAAGUAUGGUACUGUCCAGUCUGGGGUGAUGUGGAGAGCCGCCACCAACUGUGCUUUCGGGUCAGGGACAGCCAAGUCUUCCUCUGUAGGCAACUUAACAGAAGGGUUAUGCAAGAUGUCCAAGAAAGUAUUAGGCGGCACCGACUUUCGCUGAGAGCCCAACCGGCUUAAUGCAUCAGCCGCCUCAUUCUUCCUACGAUCGAUGUGCUCUACUUGGUAACCCUGAAAGUGUCCAGCAAUGGCAUCAACUUCACGGCGAUAAGCCGCCAUGAGAGGGUCUUUGGAAUCCCACUUGCCUGAUACUUGUUGAGCCACUAAAUCUGAGUCGCCAAAGCACCUUACCCGGCUCAAGCUCAUCUCCUUAGCCAUCCGAAGACCAUGGAGCAAGGCCUCGUAUUCAGCCGCAUUGUUAGUGCAGGGAAACAUCAACCAUAGCACAUAACGGAACUUGUCACCUUUAGGGGAAGUCAAUACAACUCCAGCCCCCGAGCCCUCCAAUUGCCUAGACCUAUCGAAGUGAAUAGUCCAAUAUGUAUUAUCCGGCUUCUCUUCAGGCACCUGCAGCUCUGUCCAAUCGUUGAUGAAAUCCACCAAUGCUUGAGAUUUGACAGCAGUGCGUGGUACGUAUUUCAGACCAUGAGGCCCAAGCUCUAUAGCCCACUUAGCCACUCUUCCUGUAGCUUCUCUGUUUUGGAUGAUAUCUCCAAGGGGAGCAGAACUAACCACAAUGAUGGGGUGACCCUGGAAAUAAUGCUUAAGCUUCCGGCUUGCCAUGAACACACCAUAAACAAGCUUCUGCCAAUGUGGAUACCGCUGUUUAGACUCAAUGAGCACUUCACUGACGUAGUAAACCGGCCGCUGAACCGGAUACUCCCUACCCUCUUCCUUGCGCUCCACCACCACAGCCACACUGACGGCUCGUGUGUUAGCAGCUACAUACAGUAAUAAGGGUUCCUUGUCAACCGGAGCAGCAAGAACUGGGGGCUCAACCAGCUGUCUCUUCAAAUCCUCAAAAGCAGCAUUAGCAGCAUCAUUCCAGAUAAAGUCAUCUGUUUUCUUCAUCAACUGGUACAGUGGCAUGGCCUUUUCACCCAAACGGCUGAUAAACCGGCUCAAAGCAGCGAUGCGGCCUGCCAGACUCUGGACGUCGUUGAUGCACGCCGGCUUAGCCAGAGAGGUGAUUGCCUUUAUCUUUUUCGGGUUAGCUUCAAUGCCUCUGUUAGAAACCAGGAAACCCAAGAGCUUGCCUGCGGGAACACCAAAAACACACUUGGCCGGGUUAAGCAUCAUCUUGUAAACCCGGAGAUUAUCAAAGGUUUCUCUAAGGUCAUCGACCAGGGUCUCCUUCUCCCUGGACUUAACCACGAUAUCAUCCACAUAGGCAUGAACAUUGCGCCCAAUCUGGUUAUGAAGACAAUUCUGCACACAACGCUGAUAAGUCGCCUGUGCACUCUUGAGUCCAAAAGGCAUAGACACAUAACAGAAGGCUCCAAAGGGAGUGAUGAACGCCAUCUUCUCCUGGUCCUUAACUGCCAUUUUAAUCUGAUGGUAUCCAGAAUAAGCAUCCAAAAAACUUAAGCGCUCACAACCCGCCGUAGCAUCAAUGAUUUGAUCAAUACGGGGGAGAGCAAAAGGAUCAGCCGGACAUGCCUUGUUUAAGUCCGUGUAGUCCACACACAUCCGCCAGGUGCCAUUCUUCUUGAGCACGAGCACCGGGUUAGCUAACCAUUCUGGAUGAAAGACUUCGACAAUAAACCCGGCCGCUAAGAGCCUGGCCACCUCCUCACCAAUGGCUUUCCGCCUCUCCUCAUUAAACCGUCGAAGGAAUUGCCUGACCGGCUUAAAUUUUGGAUCAAUAUUGAGAGUGUGCUCAGCAAGUUCUCUAGGUACACCUGGCAUGUCAGAAGGUUUCCAUGCAAAAAUGUCCCUAUUCUCACGGACGAACUCGAUGAGCGCGCUUUCCUAUUUUGGAUCCAGGUUGGCACUGAUGCUAAACUGCUGAGAUGAGUCACCUGGAACGAAAUCAACAAGUUUAGUCUCAUCAGUUGACUUAAAUUUCAUUGCCGGCUCAUGCUCCGUGGUCGGCUUUUUCAGAGAUGUCAUAUCUGUUGGGUCAACAUUGUCCUUGUAAAACUUCAACUCCUCUGUUGCACAAACAGAUUCUGCAUAAGCCGCGCCACCUUCCUCACACUCCAAGGCUAUCUUUCGGCUGCCAUGAACCGUAAUGGUCCCAUUGUGACCCGGCAUCUUGAGCUGUAAAUAUACAUAACACGGCCGUGCCAUGAACUUGGCGUAAGCCGGCCGCCCAAAUAUGGCAUGAUACGGACUUCUUAUCUUGACCACCUCAAAGGUCAAUUUUUCCGCCCUAUAGUUGUACUCAUCUCCAAAGGCCACUUCUAGCUCGAUCUUACCAACUGGAUAAGCCGACUUACCAGGCACCACACCAUAGAAAACAGUAUUGGACUGGCUGAGGUUCUUAUCAAUCAACCCCAUACGACGGAAGGUCUCAUAAUAGAGGAUGUUGAUGCUGCUGCCUCCAUCCAUGAGCACUUUAGUGAACUUAUAUCCUCCCACCUGAGGAGCCACCACCAGGGCCAGGUGACCCGGAUUAUCAACCCGGGGAGGGUGAUCCUCCCUACUCCACACAAUAGGCUGCUCAGACCAUCUUAAAUAGCGUGGAACCAUCGGCUCAACAACAUUCACAGCCCUCUUAUGAAGCUUCUGAUCUCGCUUACACAGACUGGUGGUAAACACAUGAUACUGUCCACCAUUGAGCUGCUUUGGAUUGGUCUAGUAUCCCCCUGCUGCUGUUGAUGACCCUGGCUGGACUGCUGAUUAAAGCCCCCUUGAACAUUCUGAGGGUUGGAAUUUGAGCCGCCGCCCGGGCCAUGAAAGCUGCCAGCGCCUGAGCCGCCGCCUGAGCCAUUGUUGCCAUUAAAGGCAUUGGAAUUCUUAAAGGCCUUCAUGAUUGCGCAAUCUUUCCAUAGAUGAGUAGCUGGCUUCUCCCUAGGGCCAUGCCUUGGACAAGGCUCAUUCAACAACUGCUCAAGCAUUGGGCCUGAACCGCCGGCUCGGGGAGGUGGCCUCCCCUUACGUCGCUGGUUGUUACCCUGUGAGCUGGCAUUGGCCAAAAACUCUAUGCUGCCACCAGCCUUACGCUUGCUACCUCCUUGGUUCGCCGGGUUAUGCUGAGGACCCUUGCCAUUGCCGUUCUUCUUUCCCUUCCCUGUCAUUUCAUCAUCUGACGCGGGGUCCUUGGUACUAUCAGAGUCGGCGUACUUGACGAGAGCCGCCAUCAGCGUACCCAUAUCAUUGCAAUCACGCUUGAGCCGCCCGAGUUUCAUCUUCAGGGGCAGGAAACGACAAUUCUGCUCCAACAUUAAGACUGCAGAGCCGGCAUCCAUCUUAUCAGAUGAAUGUAUUAUCUCUUUGACCCGGCGAACCCAAUGUGUUGUAGACUCACCCUCCUGCUGUUUACAGUUAGUCAAAUCCACAAUUGACAUAGACUGCCUACAGGUAUCUUUGAAGUUUUGGAUGAACUGGGCUUUCAGCUCAGCCCAAGACCCGAUAGAAUUCGGUGGCAGCCCUUUCAACCAAGUGCGGGCAGUCCCAUCUAACAUCAUGGUGAAGUACUUGGCCAUUGCCGCUUUGCUGACCUCCAGCAAUUCCAUGGCCAUCUCGUAACUCUCGAUCCAGGCUCUGGGUUGUAAAUCAGCCAUGUAAUUAGGCACCUUCCUAGGCCCUUUGAAAUCCUUGGGCAGACGUUCAUUGCGGAGAGCCGGCACCAGACAAGGGACACCUCCAGUCCUCGUAGGGAUACCCAUGUCGAUGGAAGCCGUCGGAUAAGCCGGGGGUGGCUGGUAAGCCGUCAACUGAGGCACCUUCUCCGCCUCUUGCCGUGCUCUGUCUUGGUCUACUGCGUGAAAGGCUCCGUUAUGAGCCGGGCCGUGGCCAGGAGGCAAGUCAUGGCGUCGGACAUUACUUGAGCCGGUCGCUGAGACCAUGUGUCUGCUAUAACUCGGGCUCCGGCCUGGACGAGGGGUUGAAUGAAUCCUGUCCCGGCUAUAAGAAUAUGCCUCUUGCUGCGCCAGAGCCGUCUGAAGGAGUUCUCUGACCCGGCGGGUUUCAACCGCCGUUGGAGAGUCACCAUCAAUUGGGAGAGCCGCCAGCCGCGCCGCCGCGGCGACCAUGUUUUCCAACGGGUUGGCAUAAUGACCCGGUGGUAUUGGCACGUACUGAGGCGGGGCAGGGUUCACCCGAGGAGGUCCCAUCACUUGGGGCUGAAUUGGCGUCCCAGCCCCGGGCACUAUGAUCUCUGGCGGGUUACUAGACCCUGCACCCGGCGUGUUGAAGAGGUUUCGAGGAUCGUAAACCGGAGGGAGUCGAGAUUGGUCCUUUUGAUGCCUCCUUCUCAUGACCUCAUUGGACGCGUUUUGAUCCAUCGUGAGCCGGAAGGACCGUGCCUGAAUCAGCUGAGUCUGGGCGUCGAGAGCCGCCCUCUCUGCAGCCAUCCUGAUCCCCUCCGCCGCCAGAUCCUCCUUGGCCUUUGCUAAAUCCAACUUUAACUGUGCCACCUCCGCGUCAUGCUGAGCUUGAUCCGCCGGAGCAACCGUAGCGGUCAACAGGACCGUCAUCUUGUCUGUGAGAUCCAUCAGCGCCUGAGCCGGCGAGGGCACCGGGCUUCCUGACCCGGAGGCGGGGUUUUGAACAGGUUGUGCGCCGGCCAUGAAGAUUCCAACCCGGCUCGGCGGCUCAAAGGGGUCCGGAAUGCUGUCACCAUCGGAACAACCCUUGAGCCUGCCAUCUUGAAGUUGAUACAACGAGUUUGACUCAUCCGUAGACGAAUCGCCGUGAGAGCCGGCGGCCGUCUCAUCACCAGAUCCAGAUCCUUCAGAGAGUCCUCCAUGGACACAUCCCACGAAAGCGUGCUUCAAGGCAGGUAGAGCCCGGGCGGGUCGUGCGCGCUGAGCCGUCUCGAUGAGAUCGGCGCAGAGAUCCGACUUAGGGCCCGGCUCACCAAUCUUGCCAAUGAAGACAUGAAUUCCUCCGAAGGGGACCCGGUACCCGUACUCAAUUGAGCCGGCGUCGGGGCCCCAGUUUGCAUCGUUGAUGUAGAGCUUGCCGCGACGACUCUUGGUCAUCUGGCCCACAGCAUAUCCCUUGAGCCCUUCGAAGCUGCCCUUGAAGAACUCAAAUCCACCGUGCGCUGGCCCCACGGUGGGCGCCAACUGUCGUGGAAUUGUCACGGCAGAUGUCCUCGCGCAAGGACUUAGUCGUGGAGCCAUCGCAGCUAGGAAGCUUAAAGGGGUUAAGCGGGACAAGGAACACGAGGGUUAUACUGGUUCGGCCCCUUACGGUGAAGGUAAAAGCCUACGUCCAGUUGAGGUGGUAUUGAUUAGGGUUUCGAUGACCAGGAGCUAAACCGUCCUGCCUGUUUAUCGAGUUUGUCUUACUUGUCCCUAAACCGCCGCCGGGUCGUUCCUUUAUAUAGAGAGGUUGACGCCCAGCGGCUCUCAGAGUCCCGGCCGGCUCAUAAUAGUGUCCGUCCCGGACUCUUAACUAUUCUUGCCUUACGCUACAAGUUUCACCCUAACGGCGGUUAACACUACGGGCCUUAAGCCAUCUCCGGGUCUUAAGCCCAUUAUUGACCCGCCUUCUUCAAGUUUGGUGCUGGGCUUCACGUGAUGACCAUUAUGACGUAACCCGGCCCCUCCUGGGCGGGUGACUCUAAUGGUUAUAUCCUCAACAAGUAGUGUUUUGAAUCAGAUAACGAAUCACUUGUAUUCUAUACCUAAGCCCUUAUGAUGUGCAGCAAGAUGACCCACCACGACCUAGAGGUUGAUAAAUUUAGUCAAGGGACAUAUAGCCUUUCGAUUACUUCCUAUGUUAUCAAAGGGGACAUGGAUGCGGAGGUGAUUGACAUGCUGAAGAUGCAUAAUGGAUUGACUGAUGUAAAAUAACGCCCCUCUCGCCACAAACCCCCAUUACUAAUAUUUUGAGCAUGAGGGAUUUUCUUAGGCCUGGUAGCAGCAUGAUCCUCGGUUAAUAUGCGAGAAACAUACUUUGUGACAUUUUAGAUGCAACUAUAAUAAUGAUAUGAAACGGAUACCUGAAAUGAAAAACCACACAUGGCAUGCUCUAUUUCUCGCCUCUGGCUUACCUCCUCCGAUGCAACAAAUAGAUAGGCAAUCUGCGUAGAAAAAAAAUUGUAAAUUUGUAAGAAAAUAAUGAUGCAUCUCUGCUGGUAUGGAUUGAAAAUCAAGGAGAGGAAGUGAGCAUAAAAACACAAGGAAUUAUCAAUAUCAAAGGAGUACACUAACUGGUAGGAUAGUGAUGUACAUGAAAAACUAAUACAAUGGAGCUACCAAGAUUAACCAAUAGAAAUUUAGUAAUCUUACUGGCUGGAAAAGCCAUUCACUCAUUAGGCAGAGUAUAUAAGAAGCAAUUAUGCAAGGCAGAGCAGUACCCUCAUGAUUAAAUGACAUCACAAUUAUUUAUCAUAAACUCAAAAUGUAGGGAGGUUUGUACCAAAACAAAGAUCCAGGCAAGCCUGAGUGGCUGAACCAUUUAGAAUGAAUGUUUCUAAUUCUCUUACUGUCUUGUUUGGUAAGCAAGCCCG